AUGGCAACAUCACAUAUGAUCACCAUCGUCUUCUCCGCCAUCGUCUUCAUGCUUCUUUCCCCGGCCAUCGCUGCUCAGAGCAGCGGCGACGUCGGUGGCAAGAAGCCCAAGCCGAACGACUUCAUGGUGGAAGCGUGCAAGAACGCCUCGGCCAACUCCCUCGUAUACGACGAAGGGUCCAACAACGUGACCCAGGAAUUCUGCAUCUCGACCCUCCGGUCCGACAACCGGAGCGCGGACGCCAAGAACCUCCGCGACCUGGCGCUCAUCCCGGUCGACAUCCUCAAGGAGCGCGUCGUCAUCGCCGGCGGCAACGUCAAGGAGAUGCUGCACAAGACCAAGAACAGCACGUCGCCGAUGGCGCGCAAUCUCAGAAUCUGCGAGCUGGGGUACGGCGCCACCGUGGGCAUGUUGAACUUAUGCGGCACCUUCCUGAGGGACUACGAGGGCGACAACACAAGCGAGGACUAUGACGGGCCGCUAUCUUUCGAGCUAUACGACUGCGUCGACGACCUGAACGUCUGCGACUACUGUGGCCGCGACACGCUUCUUCGUAUGCCGGGCGCAGAGGCGCUGGUCAGGGAGAAGGAUGAAGUGCACAUGCUGAUCAAUCUCGGCAUGGCCUUGCUAUCGCCGUAUAGAUUGGAGAAAUGUUGA
This 657-nucleotide ribosomal RNA is filed under the name Triticum aestivum (bread wheat). RNAcentral's name for it is "partial small subunit ribosomal RNA". The record is from RNAcentral. Lineage: Eukaryota; Viridiplantae; Streptophyta; Magnoliopsida; Poales; Poaceae.